This 314-nucleotide unclassified non-coding RNA is filed under the name uncultured Eurotiomycetes. RNAcentral's name for it is "sequence contains ITS1". The stretch from base 1 to 105 matches the Rfam family "5.8S ribosomal RNA", at positions 50 to 154 of the family's 154-position model. The record is from RNAcentral. Lineage: Eukaryota; Fungi; Ascomycota; Eurotiomycetes.
GAAAUGCGAUAAGUAAUGUGAAUUGCAGAAUUCCGUGAAUCAUCGAAUCUUUGAACGCACAUUGCGCCCCCUGGUAUUCCGGGGGGCAUGCCUGUCCGAGCGUCAUUACUGCCCAUCAAGCCCGGCUUGUGUGUUGGGUCGACGUCCCCUCCCUCGCGGGGGGGACGGACCCGAAAGGCAGUGGCGGUGCCGCGCCGGUGCUUCGAGCGUAUGGGGCUUUGUCACCCGCUCCGGAGGCCUGGCCGGCGCCCGUCGUCCCCACACUAUUUUUCUCGGUGGACCUCGGAUCAGGUAGGGAUACCCGCUGAACUUAA